This 931-nucleotide ribosomal RNA is filed under the name Bacillus pumilus. Its description in RNAcentral is "bacterial SSU rRNA". It matches the Rfam family "Bacterial small subunit ribosomal RNA", at positions 60 to 974 of the family's 1533-position model. Lineage: Bacteria; Bacillati; Bacillota; Bacilli; Caryophanales; Bacillaceae. The record is from RNAcentral.
AGUCGAGCGGACAGAAGGGAGCUUGCUCCCGGAUGUUAGCGGCGGACGGGUGAGUAACACGUGGGUAACCUGCCUGUAAGACUGGGAUAACUCCGGGAAACCGGAGCUAAUACCGGAUAGUUCCUUGAACCGCAUGGUUCAAGGAUGAAAGACGGUUUCGGCUGUCACUUACAGAUGGACCCGCGGCGCAUUAGCUAGUUGGUGGGGUAAUGGCUCACCAAGGCGACGAUGCGUAGCCGACCUGAGAGGGUGAUCGGCCACACUGGGACUGAGACACGGCCCAGACUCCUACGGGAGGCAGCAGUAGGGAAUCUUCCGCAAUGGACGAAAGUCUGACGGAGCAACGCCGCGUGAGUGAUGAAGGUUUUCGGAUCGUAAAGCUCUGUUGUUAGGGAAGAACAAGUGCGAGAGUAACUGCUCGCACCUUGACGGUACCUAACCAGAAAGCCACGGCUAACUACGUGCCAGCAGCCGCGGUAAUACGUAGGUGGCAAGCGUUGUCCGGAAUUAUUGGGCGUAAAGGGCUCGCAGGCGGUUUCUUAAGUCUGAUGUGAAAGCCCCCGGCUCAACCGGGGGAGGGUCAUUGGGAAACUGGGAAACUUGAGUGCAGAAGAGGAGAGUGGAAUUCCACGUGUAGCGGUGAAAUGCGUAGAGAUGUGGAGGAACACCAGUGGCGAAGGCGACUCUCUGGUCUGUAACUGACGCUGAGGAGCGAAAGCGUGGGGAGCGAACAGGAUUAGAUACCCUGGUAGUCCACGCCGUAAACGAUGAGUGCUAAGUGUUAGGGGGUUUCCGCCCCUUAGUGCUGCAGCUAACGCAUUAAGCACUCCGCCUGGGGAGUACGGUCGCAAGACUGAACUCAAGGAAUUGACGGGGGCCCGCACAAGCGGUGGAGCAUGUGGUUUAAUUCGAAGCAACGCGAGAACCUUAC